AGAGUGGCGCACGGGUGAGUAACGCGUGGAUUAUCUACCUAUUGGUACGGGACAACAGUUGGAAACGACUGCUAAUACCGUAUAAGCUGGUAACGGGAAAGGGGGCCUCUUCUUGAAAGCUCUCGCCAGUAGAUGAGUCCGCGUUUCAUUAGCUAGACGGUGGGGUAACGGCCUACCGUGGCAACGAUGAAUAGCAGGCCUGAGAGGGUGGCCUGCCACACUGGGACUGGAACACGGCCCAGACUCCUACGGGAGGCAGCAGUGGGGAAUAUUGCGCAAUGGACGAAAGUCUGACGCAGCGACGCCGCGUGGAGGAUGAAGGUUUUCGGAUCGUAAACUCCUGUCAAGAGGGAAGAAACCUGUUGAA
This 367-nucleotide ribosomal RNA is filed under the name uncultured bacterium. Its description in RNAcentral is "bacterial SSU rRNA". It matches the Rfam family "Bacterial small subunit ribosomal RNA", at positions 92 to 459 of the family's 1533-position model. The record is from RNAcentral.